UUGACGUCAUUUUGACGCCAGACCAACGCGCAGCUAGUGGCAAAGCAGAAUGAGAACGCGACACCGAGCUGUUGCCAAGAGACUGCCUGCUCUGACGCUCGAAGUGAUGGAGCGGUUGCCCUGGAAAUCUUGCCAAUGACGUGGCCAUAAUGCUUGGUCUGAGGUGUCCUCUGAGAAGUAACACGUGAUGGAUUGUUGUAGGAGUUGUGUUUCUUACGUUAGUUAUUCAGAUUAGUUUCUGUGACCUGAAAUUUGCAUUGUGUUACUAAUGCAUUUGCUAACUGUGUAAGACGAAGUUUAUGGUAUAGUGGCUAUCAGAAAAGACGAAAUACUAUAAGUAGCUGAAAGUUUUGCGACACUGACUUCAUUUAACUCCACUCUGCUGCCGUGCGCUUUGUAAUUUGCAUUCCGAUUGGUGGUAACCUGGCUCGGACAUUUAUAGGCUCUCUUGUUUUUCGUUUUAUCUGCAGAAAAAAAAAAUUCCAGAUCUGUCAGACGCCAUGGCCCUUGCAAAAUGUCUUGUAAACGUUCCGUCAUAGAUUUUUAUACCUUGUAUUUUUUUUUCCUGGACUAUGAUCAGUCAAAAGCUACCAACUCACAGACACGUUCUGGUUUUACUUUGUAAGCCACUGCAGUUCGCUAUCAGUGUUUAAAGGGUACCGAAAUAGUAAACUAGCGAUUGCAUAAAAGUGCAAUGCAGGUAAUAAUUAUAUAAAAAAUGGCAUGCUGGUCCAAUGACUUGAAGACGCUGGAGCCUAGGAGGGAUCGGUUAGUAUACUGGGUCGUCAUAAUUUACCUCAAGUCUGCUCUAGCUGUCAGACGAACAGGAACCCUUAAUCAGAAGUUUUCGUGACUAGCAAGGGCUCACGUUUGUAAAACCUGUGUUGAUCCGAUAAAGUAAAUUGCACUACCUGUACCUUACUGUGAAAACUGUGAGUUCAUUUUAAUUAAGAUUUCGCGUAGAACACCAGCAACAAUGUAUUAAUCUGACCAGGGUUGCCACCUUUUCAAAUGCCCGAAGUGGGACAUUUGUGGUACAAACGUCAGCUUUUGCACUUCGAAACAUACACCCGGCUAGUACGAAGAAGAGAACUUCACAUUUUUGCUUAGCUAAAAGUUUAUUCUUGUAGUGCUUUAGUUGCUUAUUCUGUUUCUUAUAACAUUUAGGCGGCUCAGAUACAGAAUAACUCUUUUAUGCAACUAUUACAUAAACUAUAGGAAAUAAUUUUCUCCAAAAUUCUGAGGACAUUUGCAAUUUUUGCAGGACACAACUGCCCAAAGAGGGACUGUCCCUCGCAAAGUGGGACAGGUGGUAACCCUAAAUCUAACUCGCGCGCUUGGAACGGUUAUGUCACCACUGUAAAGGCUGGAAAAAUGCUGUAAAAUACACCCCAGAACAUCUAUAACCGUAUGGCUUCUUGGGCCCUGACUUACUUGAGUUAUUUCCUAAAUGGUUAUCACUGUGCUGAAUUGGUCAGGAAAGUUGGCAUUUUCCAGCAAAGAAUGCAAUUACUGUCAGUCAUCAUUAGCCCAGCACAGAGCAAGCACGUAGCCUCAUGUCUCGUUGCUGCUGUCUGCAGGAAAUGGAUAUUUUGUAAAGAGGCACCCAGUGAAGAUGCCAGAUGUGCAUUAUAUUUAUUAUCGUGAAGCAACAGUCAGAAGAACAGUCUAGCUGGAUGUAACUCCAAAACAUGAACUUCAAAAAAUAUAUUUAUGUAACAAAAAAAAAGAAAGAAAAGCAAAGAUCUAGAGAAGUUGUAAAAUGCAUUUUUUUAAGUAUCAGUAAUGAAAGCUACACAUUCAUUUUAACAUUGUGGAAUAAUUUUACAUUUGCAAAAAAAGCAAAAUAUAAAGUGUAGAAGUUACAGGCUGUAGAACAUUUGAUACGCAGCAUACAACUAACUUUCUCUGUCUGCUAAAAUAGCACCUGGCUGUCACAAAAUCUUCAAAUUGAUACAGGGAGGUAACAACACUGAAUGAAUGAAUGAAUGAAUGAAUGAAUGUUUUAGCCAAUGAUUUUCACUAAGGCACAUGGUUUGCAUGGCUAUAUUUUGUAAGAAAGUAUGUCAGUGUUCUAAGGAACUUGUUUGUGUCUUUCGGCUUUUCCUGGUUAGGGAUCGCCACAGCAGAACUCCGGUCCGCUAAUGACU
Long non-coding RNA from Protopterus annectens (West African lungfish), 2150 nucleotides. RefSeq lists it as uncharacterized. The record is from RefSeq and is a predicted model, not a curated record. The transcript is spliced from 3 exons. Lineage: Eukaryota; Metazoa; Chordata; Ceratodontiformes; Protopteridae.